UUGUGGAGGAGGACGCCGAAGGUGGGGCUAAUGACUGGGGUGAAGUCGUAACAAGGUAGCCGUACCGGAAGGUGCGGCUGGAUCACCUCCUAACAGGGAGACAACAAAAUGUUAAAUAUUAAUUUUGUCACCUUAGGUCGAUCGGUAUCUCACAUUUUUAAUUUAUUAAAAAUUUCAUUUUCUAAGUUUUUUCUAGGUCACACCCAUUAUUUUUCCUGGGCCAUUAGCUCAGGUGGUUAGAGCGCACCCCUGAUAAGGGUGAGGUCCCUGGUUCAAGUCCAGGAUGGCCCAUAUCUCUAUGUUGGGGGUAUAGCUCAGUUGGUAGAGCGCCUGCUUUGCAAGCAGGAUGUCAGUGGUUCGAGUCCGCUUACCUCCACUGAUUACCACCUCUUCCAUAAUUUAUAGAAGGGAAAAAUUUUUAGUUGUGAUCAAAUUCUGAACGAAUCUAGCUUCCUAAUAAUCUUAUUAAGAUGCUGGACUCAUUGAAUUAAUUUUCAUUGUUUUCAGAGAACCUUGACAACUGCAUAGAUUAUUUUUAAAGACAAUAAGCAUCAUUAAUGAUGCAGAUUUAUUAUUUGUGCGAAUGCAUUAAAUAACAAUUCUAUUAAGCUGAUGCUUCAAAAUUUUUGAAGUUAUUGGUCAAGCUACAA
This 650-nucleotide unclassified non-coding RNA is filed under the name uncultured Prochlorococcus sp. Its description in RNAcentral is "partial 16S-23S ribosomal RNA intergenic spacer; may also contain 16S ribosomal RNA and 23S ribosomal RNA". The stretch from base 1 to 93 matches the Rfam family "Bacterial small subunit ribosomal RNA", at positions 1441 to 1533 of the family's 1533-position model. Lineage: Bacteria; Bacillati; Cyanobacteriota; Cyanophyceae; Synechococcales; Prochlorococcaceae. The record is from RNAcentral.